AACGCACAUUGCGCCCUUUGGUAUUCCGAAGGGCAUGCCUGUUCGAGCGUCAUUAUCACCCCUCAAGCCUGGCUUGUUGUUGGAUCUCGGUGUGUGGUUUCACCCCUCACCGGUCCCAAACAUAAUGACGGCGUCCGUGGGACUCUCGGUGCAACGAGCUUUCAUUAGCACGCAUGGAGUUGAAAAGUCUUUCGGCACGGUCUUAACAAAAACUUUUUUCCAAAGGUUGACCUCGGAUCAGGUAGGAAUACCCGCUGAACUUAA
RNAcentral lists this unclassified non-coding RNA (264 nucleotides) under uncultured fungus. RNAcentral describes it as "partial contains 5.8S ribosomal RNA, internal transcribed spacer 2, and large subunit ribosomal RNA". The stretch from base 1 to 52 matches the Rfam family "5.8S ribosomal RNA", at positions 103 to 154 of the family's 154-position model. Lineage: Eukaryota; Fungi. The record is from RNAcentral.